UACGGAGGGUGCAAGCAUUAAUCGGAUUUAUUGGGCGUAAAGGGCGCGUAGGCGGGGGGAAAAGUCAGAUGUGAAAUCCCGGGGCUCAACCUCGGAACAGCAUUUGAAACUGACUCCCUAGAGGGUAGGCGGAGAAAACGGAAUUCCACAAGUAGCGGUGAAAUGCGUAGAUAUGUGGAAGAACACCGGUGGCGAAGGCGGUUUUCUAGCUUAUUCCUGACGCUGAGGCGCGAAAGCAAGGGGAUCAAACAGG
Molecule: ribosomal RNA, 253 nt
Filed under: uncultured bacterium
Lineage: Bacteria
Description: partial 16S ribosomal RNA
Rfam family: Bacterial small subunit ribosomal RNA
Source: RNAcentral